AACACCGUGUGCUUAGCACAGAGGCUCAGGCGUGCUAAGUGCUCAAUGAAGGCAGCUCUUGAAGGGACACUAAAGGAUCCUCGCAGGCCCUUGUCCCCACCGCUGUCCCUCCCGGCGCCUGCCACAGGGUGUUCAUUGAGUGAAUGUGCGUAUUGCUGGAUGGGUGAGAGAAGGAAGGAAGGGAAGGAGGAAAGGACACACAAGGUCCAAGAACCUGAACUUGUAUAUAAAUUGGAACCAACAUGGACGGCAGGAAGGACAGAGCCCACAGGCCAUCACGGCCACAUCUGGGUUGACAGCUGCCCUGAUGACACAAGGUAUCCAGAGGAGAGAGGCACUCGGAGGGGGCGGGGGACCCGAGCCAGCGCUGGCUGCUUCCUCCAAGGCAGCCAGAAAGCCGCUCCUUGGAGAAGCUUCUAUGCCUCCAGCCUUUGGAUCUGGGCCCUCAAACUGAACUGCCCGCAGGGGUGGAGCCCUGGCUGUGACAGCAUUUUGAGACCAGAAGAAACGUACCCGUAUCUGUUGAAACUUGGACUUCUGUGUGCCUUGGAAGUUUUUUAUUGCCUGAUGGUUUUUAGUCUUAAAAACUUAUCUUUGGGCAGAGCCCUGGGAAGAGCACAGGACUGGGAAGCAGGGCUCUUCACAGAUGUACAUCAGAUGAGGUCAUCAGGUGGGUCCUAAUCCAGCACGCCUGGUGUCCUUCUAAGAGAGGAGGGAUCCAGAGACAGACACAUGACAUGCGACAAUGGAGGCGGAGAUUGAAUGAAUUCCAAGGAUGGCCAACAACCUCUAACGCUGGGAAGAGGCAGGAAGCAUCCUCCCUUAGAGCCUUCGGAGGGAGCUUAGUCCUGCCGACACCUUGAUCACGAACUUCUAGCCUCCCGAGCGGUGAGAGAAUAAAUUUCUGUCAUUCCACACCA
Molecule: long non-coding RNA, 920 nt
Organism: Felis catus (domestic cat)
Lineage: Eukaryota; Metazoa; Chordata; Mammalia; Carnivora; Felidae
Exons: 2
Source: RefSeq, a predicted model, not a curated record